AAUAGAUACCCGGGUAGUCCACGCCGUAAACGAUGGAUACUAGCUGUUCGGAGUAAUCUGAGUGGCUAAGCGAAAGUGAUAAGUAUCCCACCUGGGGAGUACGUUCGCAAGAAUGAAACUCAAAGGAAUUGACGGGGGCCCGCACAAGCGGUGGAGCAUGUGGUUUAAUUCGAUGAUACGCGAGGAACCUUACCAGGGCUUAAAUGUAGAUUGACAGGUUUAGAGAUAGACUUUUCUUCGGACAAUUUACAAGGUGCUGCAUGGUUGUCGUCAGCUCGUGCCGUGAGGUGUCAGGUUAAGUCCUAUAACGAGCGCAACCCCUGUUGUUAGUUGCCAGCGAGUAAUGUCGGGAACUCUAACAAGACUGCCAGUGCAAACUGUGAGGAAGGUGGGGAUGACGUCAAAUCAUCACGGCCCUUACGUCCUGGGCUACACACGUGCUACAAUGGUAGGGACAGAGAGCAGCCACUUCGCGAGAAGGAGCGAAUCUAUAAACCCUAUCACAGUUCGGAUCGGAGU
This 519-nucleotide ribosomal RNA is filed under the name uncultured bacterium. Its description in RNAcentral is "bacterial SSU rRNA". It matches the Rfam family "Bacterial small subunit ribosomal RNA", at positions 777 to 1304 of the family's 1533-position model. The record is from RNAcentral.